RNAcentral lists this ribosomal RNA (393 nucleotides) under Triticum aestivum (bread wheat). Its description in RNAcentral is "partial small subunit ribosomal RNA". The record is from RNAcentral. Lineage: Eukaryota; Viridiplantae; Streptophyta; Magnoliopsida; Poales; Poaceae.
AUGGACCAUUCCAUCCCUUUUUCCCGUGCAUAUGCAUCAGACUCGGAUGACGAUGGUCCCGACGAACAAGUUGAUGCGGAGGAGUUCACAGUGAAGGAGGCUGAAGCUUUUGAGAAGGUAUUCGGUCGGGAUCAUUGGACUACAUUGUUCAAAGAUGUUAGUCUCGCGGAUGAAGCCGUGGUAGAUGCUGGCCAAUGUAUAUCUGUUGGGGUUAGGCCAAGCUCUCACCGUGAUUUGGGAGAUGACAAGAACCGGAUUGCAAAAGGGUGUAAGUUCGAAACCUUCUUGGAAUUGAAGAUGUGGCUCGACAACUACUCGGUUACGCAUUAUCGUCCACACAAGGUGGUGCACUCGGACGUCAAUGUGCGCUACACGGUUUGCAUGUGCAUGUGA